UGGCGGACGGGUGAGUAAUGUCUGGGAAACUGCCUGAUGGAGGGGGAUAACUACUGGAAACGGUAGCUAAUACCGCAUAACGUCGCAAGACCAAAGAGGGGGACCUUCGGGCCUCUUGCCAUCGGAUGUGCCCAGAUGGGAUUAGCUAGUAGGUGGGGUAACAGCUCACCUAGGCGACGAUCCCUAGCUGGUCUGAGAGGAUGACCAGCCACACUGGAACUGAGACACGGUCCAGACUCCUACGGGAGGCAGCAUG
This 256-nucleotide ribosomal RNA is filed under the name uncultured bacterium. RNAcentral describes it as "partial 16S ribosomal RNA". It matches the Rfam family "Bacterial small subunit ribosomal RNA", at positions 96 to 353 of the family's 1533-position model. The record is from RNAcentral.